This 468-nucleotide ribosomal RNA is filed under the name uncultured bacterium. RNAcentral's name for it is "partial 16S ribosomal RNA". It matches the Rfam family "Bacterial small subunit ribosomal RNA", at positions 28 to 507 of the family's 1533-position model. The record is from RNAcentral.
GACGAACGCUGGCGGCGUGCUUAACGCAUGCAAGUCGAACGGAAAGGCCCUGCUUUUGUGGGGUGCUCGAGUGGCGAACGGGUGAGUAACACGUGAGUAACCUGCCCUUGACUUUGGGAUAACUUCAGGAAACUGGGGCUAAUACCGGAUAGGAGCUCCUGCUGCAUGGUGGGGGUUGGAAAGUUUCGGCGGUUGGGGAUGGACUCGCGGCUUAUCAGCUUGUUGGUGGGGUAGUGGCUUACCAAGGCUUUGACGGGUAGCCGGCCUGAGAGGGUGACCGGCCACAUUGGGACUGAGAUACGGCCCAGACUCCUACGGGAGGCAGCAGUGGGGAAUAUUGCACAAUGGGCGGAAGCCUGAUGCAGCAACGCCGCGUGCGGGAUGACGGCCUUCGGGUUGUAAACCGCUUUCGCCUGUGACGAAGCGUGAGUGACGGUAGUGGGUAAAGAAGCACCGGCUAACUACGUG